Homalodisca vitripennis (glassy-winged sharpshooter) is the source of this 717-nucleotide long non-coding RNA. RefSeq lists it as uncharacterized. The record is from RefSeq and is a predicted model, not a curated record. The transcript is spliced from 2 exons. Lineage: Eukaryota; Metazoa; Arthropoda; Insecta; Hemiptera; Cicadellidae.
UUGUCGAUGACAGCUGUCAGAAGAUAUCAGCUGGAUUUGUUGUUAAAUGCUAUGCUCUCAGUUAUAACCUCGAUUAAUUUGCGUGAUUGAAGGAGGUUAUUUAUAGUGUGAUUCAUUGUGUUAUUAGUAAAACAAUGAGUAAGCGUCGGCGUGGUAGAGAAAAGUCACCAGUGGUUACUAAGUUUGGUGUUCCCAAGGCGUUGAUUACAGAUCAAGGGGCAAACUUUACCUCUGACCUGAUCAAAUUCUUGCACAUCAGGAAAAUCCAGACUACAGACUGUGUUUUCACCCACAGAGUAAUGUUCGGCUAGAGAGAGAGUACACGCGACUGUAAAAACACUCUGAUAAAUAAUAUUGUUAGUGCUGAAGGUGUUAUUUUUGAAGACAAUUCUAAAGACUGAGCCAUAGUUGUGUGGACAUCAUAAGCCCAAAUAAUGAAUUAUUUACUGAAAAUGAAAAAUGUGAUUUUUUAAGAAGAUCCUGAUGUUAUUCCUAAACAUCUUGAAACAGCAUCUUUUUCAGAAGACGAGGCUGAAGCAAACGUGCCUUCAAUGUCAACAGGUCAAGGGAGGCCUAGGAAUACUCUUCUGAGGAGGAAACCUUGAAGAUACACCUGGUACAAGCAGACUAAUCCCAAGAGUCUCGCUUGGGAAUUGGGAAUAAACGUACAUUUAUUAAUUGAAAAUGUUAAAAAUUAUAAAUAAAUAUAUUACUAUA